AAAACAAUGCAAUCCUAUUCAAGAGUUCAUAUCGACAAUUAGGGUUUAUGACCUUGAUGUUGGAUCAGGACAUCCCUAUGGUGCAGCAGCUAUUAAAGGUUUGUUUGUUCAGCGAUUAAAGUCCUACCAGAUCUGAGUUCAGAGUGGAGUAAUCCAGGUC
RNAcentral lists this non-coding RNA (160 nucleotides) under Mesocricetus auratus (golden hamster). RNAcentral describes it as "Bacterial large subunit ribosomal RNA". It matches the Rfam family "Bacterial large subunit ribosomal RNA", at positions 2474 to 2632 of the family's 2925-position model. The record is from Rfam by way of RNAcentral. Lineage: Eukaryota; Metazoa; Chordata; Mammalia; Rodentia; Cricetidae.